Parachaetomium inaequale is the source of this 110-nucleotide non-coding RNA. NCBI's taxonomy places the organism in Eukaryota, Fungi, Ascomycota, Sordariomycetes, Sordariales, Chaetomiaceae. The record is from the annotation of a GenBank genome assembly.
GCCCGGCUAGCUCAAUCGGUAGAGCGUGAGACUCUUAACUCACGUUUCCCCCACCGGGUCAUGUGAGAGGGUUCAUCUCAAGGUUGUGGGUUCGACCCCCACGUCGGGCU